Molecule: ribosomal RNA, 450 nt
Filed under: uncultured bacterium
Lineage: Bacteria
Description: bacterial SSU rRNA
Rfam family: Bacterial small subunit ribosomal RNA
Source: RNAcentral
GUGGGGAAUAUUGGACAAUGGGCGAAAGCCUGAUCCAGCCAUGCCGCGUGUGUGAAGAAGGUCUUCGGAUUGUAAAGCACUUUAAGUUGGGAGGAAGGGCAGUAAGUUAAUACCUUACUGUUUUGACGUUACCGACAGAAUAAGCACCGGCUAACUUCGUGCCAGCAGCCGCGGUAAUACGAAGGGUGCAAGCGUUAAUCGGAAUUACUGGGCGUAAAGCGCGCGUAGGUGGUUUUGUAAGUUGGAGGUGAAAUCCCCGGGCUCAACCUGGGAACUGCCUCCAAAACUGCAUGACUAGAGUACGGUAGAGGGUAGUGGAAUUUCCUGUGUAGCGGUGAAAUGCGUAGAUAUAGGAAGGAACACCAGUGGCGAAGGCGACUACCUGGACUGAUACUGACACUGAGGUGCGAAAGCGUGGGGAGCAAACAGGAUUAGAAACCCGUGUAGUCC